AAAAAAUGAUGUUAGUGCGUAUAAUGGAUGCCUUGGUACUCAACUCCGAUGAAGGACGCGAUAGGCUGCGAUAAGCUUCGGCGAGCUGUCUUUUAAGCUAUGACCCGGAGAUUUCCGAAUGGGAUAACCCCUUCCGAUUUAUCGGGAGACUCCAUGCUGAAUACAUAGGCAUGCGAGAGGAUACUCGGUGAACUGAAAUAUCUCAGUAGCCGAGGAAAAGAAAUCAAUCUAGAGAUUCCCGUAGUAGUGACGAGCGAACCGGGAACAGGCCAAACCUCCGCCUCGGCGGGGGGGUUGUAGGACUCCAAUAUCGAUCAUAAAAGGUUAGCAGAAUCCUUUGGAAAGCGGAACCAUAGUGGGUAAUAGUCCCGUAUGCGAAAGCUUUUUGUGAUCGUAGGAGUAUCCUGAGUAGGGUCGGACACGUGAAAUCCGGCUUGAAUCUGGGAGGACCACCUUCCAAGCCUAAACAGGUUGAGUAACCGAUAGUGAACCAGUACCGCGAGGGAAAGGUGAAAAGCACCCCGGGCAGGGGGAUGAAAUAGAUUCUGAAAUUAUACGCACACAAAGAAUCGGAGCCCCGAGAGCAAUCGAGGGGUGACGGUGUACUUUUUGUAGAACGGGCCAACGAGUUAGCUGUAUGGCGCAAGGCUAAGGGAGUAAUACCCGGAGCCGUAGUGAAAGCGAGGGUUAAUAGCCCGCUUAAGUGUCAUGCACUAGACCCGAAACCGGGUGAGCUUACCAUGUCCAGGCUGAAGUCUCGAGAAAUCGA
This 769-nucleotide ribosomal RNA is filed under the name bacterium. RNAcentral's name for it is "partial 23S ribosomal RNA". It matches the Rfam family "Bacterial large subunit ribosomal RNA", at positions 1 to 764 of the family's 2925-position model. The record is from RNAcentral.